RNAcentral lists this ribosomal RNA (453 nucleotides) under uncultured bacterium. Its description in RNAcentral is "bacterial SSU rRNA". It matches the Rfam family "Bacterial small subunit ribosomal RNA", at positions 8 to 493 of the family's 1533-position model. The record is from RNAcentral.
AGAGUUUGAUCCUGGCUCAGAAUCAACGCUGGCGGCGUGCCUAACACAUGCAAGUCGAACGAGAAAGUGGAGCAAUCCAUGAGUAAAGUGGCGCACGGGUGAGUAACACGUGACUAACCUACCCUGGAGUGGGGGAUAACUGAGGGAAACCUUAGCUAAUACCGCAUAAUACCUACGGGUCAAAGGAGCAAUUCGCUUUGGGAGGGGGUCGCGGCCGAUUAGUUAGUUGGCGGGGUAAUGGCCCACCAAGACUGUGAUCGGUAUCCGGCCUGAGAGGGCGCACGGACACACUGGAACUGAAACACGGUCCAGACUCCUACGGGAGGCAGCAGUGGGGAAUUUUGCGCAAUGGGGGAAACCCUGACGCAGCAACGCCGCGUGGAGGAUGAAGUACUUCGGUACGUAAACUCCUUUCGAUCGGGACGAUAAUGACGGUACCGGAAGAAGAAGCCC